Molecule: ribosomal RNA, 497 nt
Filed under: uncultured bacterium
Lineage: Bacteria
Description: partial 16S ribosomal RNA
Rfam family: Bacterial small subunit ribosomal RNA
Source: RNAcentral
GACGAACGCUGGCGGCGUGCCUAAUACAUGCAAGUUGAGCGCUGACGGCUGGUACUUGUGCCCACUGGAUGAGCAGCGAACGGGUCAGUAACGCGUGGUGGAUCUGCCUUUGAGCGGGGGACAACAUUUGGGAACGAAUGCUAAUACCGCAUAAAAACUUUCAACACAAUUUUUAAGUUUGAAAGAUGCAAUUGCAUCACUCAAAGAUGAUCCCGCGUUGUAUUAGCUAGUUGGUGGGGUAAAGGCUCACCAAGGCGUUGUUACAUAGCAGACCUGAGAGGGUGAGAGGCCACGCUGGGACGGAGACACGGCCAACACUCCUACGAGAGGGAGCAGUACGGAAUCUUUGGCAGUGGAAGAAAGGGGGACCGUGGAACGACGGGUGAGUGAAGAAGCUUGCCGGACCGUGAAACUCAGGUAGUAGAGAAGAUCGUUGGGGAGAGUUGAAAGCGCAUCAAGUGACGGUAACUACACAGAAAGCGACGGCUAACUACGUG